AGACCCGAAACCCGGUGAUCUAGCCAUGGGCAGGUUGAAGGUUGGGUAACACUAACUGGAGGACCGAACCGACUAAUGUUGAAAAAUUAGCGGAUGACCUGUGGCUGGGGGUGAAAGGCCAAUCAAACCGGGAGAUAGCUGGUUCUCCCCGAAAGCUAUUUAGGUAGCGCCUCGUGAAUUCAUCUCCGGGGGUAGAGCACUGUUUCGGCUAGGGGGCCAUCCCGGCUUACCAACCCGAUGCAAACUGCGAAUACCGGAGAAUGUUAUCACGGGAGACACACGGCGGGUGCUAACGUCCGUCGUGAAGAGGGAAACAACCCAGACCGCCAGCUAAGGUCCCAAAGUCAUGGUUAAGUGGGAAACGAUGUGGGAAGGCCCAGACAGCCAGGAUGUUGGCUUAGAAGCAGCCAUCAUUUAAAGAAAGCGUAAUAGCUCACUGGUCGAGUCGGCCUGCGCGGAAGAUGUAACGGGGCUAAACCAUGCACCGAAGCUGCGGCAGCGACGCUGAUGCGUUGUUGGGUAGGGGAGCGUUCUGUAAGCCUGUGAAGGUGGCCUGUGAGGGUUGCUGGAGGUAUCAGAAGUGCGAAUGCUGACAUAAGUAACGAUAAAGCGGGUGAAAAGCCCGCUCGCCGGAAGACCAAGGGUUCCUGUCCAACGUUAAUCGGGGCAGGGUGAGUCGACCCCUAAGGCGAGGCCGAAAGGCGUAGUCGAUGGGAAACGGGUUAAUAUUCCCGUACUUGGUGUUACUGCGAAGGGGGGACGGAGAAGGCUAUGUUGGCCGGGCGACGGUUGUCCCGGUUUAAGCGUGUAGGUGUGUGUUCCAGGUAAAUCCGGUUCACUUUAACACUGAGGCGUGAUGACGAGGCACUACGGUGCUGAAGCAACAAAUGCCCUGCUUCCAGGAAAAGCCUCUAAGCAUCAGGUAACAUCAAAUCGUACCCCAAACCGACACAGGUGGUCAGGUAGAGAAUACCAAGGCGCUUGAGAGAACUCGGGUGAAGGAACUAGGCAAAAUGGUGCCGUAACUUCGGGAGAAGGCACGCUGACACGUAGGUGAAGUGAUUUACUCAUGGAGCUGAAGUCAGUCGAAGAUACCAGCUGGCUGCAACUGUUUAUUAAAAACACAGCACUGUGCAAACACGAAAGUGGACGUAUACGGUGUGACGCCUGCCCGGUGCCGGAAGGUUAAUUGAUGGGGUCAGCGCAAGCGAAGCUCCUGAUCGAAGCCCCGGUAAACGGCGGCCGUAACUAUAACGGUCCUAAGGUAGCGAAAUUCCUUGUCGGGUAAGUUCCGACCUGCACGAAUGGCGUAAUGAUGGCCAGGCUGUCUCCACCCGAGACUCAGUGAAAUUGAACUCGCUGUGAAGAUGCAGUGUACCCGCGGCAAGACGGAAAGACCCCGUGAACCUUUACUAUAGCUUGACACUGAACAUUGAGCCUUGAUGUGUAG
Molecule: ribosomal RNA, 1450 nt
Filed under: Salmonella enterica subsp. enterica serovar Infantis
Lineage: Bacteria; Pseudomonadati; Pseudomonadota; Gammaproteobacteria; Enterobacterales; Enterobacteriaceae
Also listed under: 1 other name
Description: partial 23S ribosomal RNA
Rfam family: Bacterial large subunit ribosomal RNA
Source: RNAcentral